This 64-nucleotide transfer RNA is filed under the name Parazyginella tiani. RNAcentral describes it as "tRNA-Thr". Lineage: Eukaryota; Metazoa; Arthropoda; Insecta; Hemiptera; Cicadellidae. The record is from RNAcentral.
GUUUUAGUAAUUUAAUAAAAAUAAUAACUUUGUAAGUUAAAAUUAAGUUUACACUUCUAAAACU